UACGUAGGGUGCAAGCGUUAUCCGGAAUCAUUGGGCGUAAAGCGUUCCCAGGUGGCCAAGCAAGUUUGUGGUUAAAUCCGGUUGCUCAACAAUCGAAUCGUCACAAAAACUACUUGGCUAGAGAAUGACAGAGGUCACUGGAAUUCCGCAUGUAGGGGUAAAAUCCGUUGAUAUGCGGAGGAACACCAAAAGCGAAGGCAGGUGACUGGGUCAUUUCUGACACUCACGAACGAAAGCGUGGGGAGCAAACAGG
RNAcentral lists this ribosomal RNA (253 nucleotides) under uncultured bacterium. RNAcentral describes it as "partial 16S ribosomal RNA". It matches the Rfam family "Bacterial small subunit ribosomal RNA", at positions 524 to 776 of the family's 1533-position model. The record is from RNAcentral.